GACGAACGCUGGCGGCGCGCUUAACACAUGCAAGUCGAGCGAGAACCUGGGCUUCGGCCCUGGGGACAGCGGCGAACGGGUGAGUAACACGUGGGUAGUCUGCCCUUGACAUCGGGAUAGCCCGGGGAAACCCGGAUUAAUAGCGAAUAGCCUCCGGAGCCUUCGGGCGCCGGAGAAAAGGUAGCUUCGGCCUCUGGUCGAGGAUGAGCCCGCGGCGGAUUAGCUUGUUGGCGGGGUAACGGCCCACCAAGGCGACGAUCCGUAGCUGGUCUGAGAGGACGAUCAGCCACACUGGGACUGAGACACGGCCCAGACUCCUACGGGAGGCAGCAGUGGGGAAUCUUGCGCCAAUGCGGGAAACCGUGACGCAGCGACGCCGCGUGGGGGAAGAAGGCCUUCGGGUUGUAAACCUCUUUCAGGAGGGACGAAGCCACUCGGGUGAAUAGCCCAGAGGGUGACGGUACCUCCAGAAGAAGCCCCGGCUAACUACGUGCCAGCCGCCGCAGUAA
RNAcentral lists this ribosomal RNA (509 nucleotides) under uncultured bacterium. RNAcentral's name for it is "partial 16S ribosomal RNA". It matches the Rfam family "Bacterial small subunit ribosomal RNA", at positions 28 to 523 of the family's 1533-position model. The record is from RNAcentral.